RNAcentral lists this ribosomal RNA (811 nucleotides) under Chrysosporium europae. RNAcentral's name for it is "partial large subunit ribosomal RNA". It matches the Rfam family "Eukaryotic large subunit ribosomal RNA", at positions 85 to 912 of the family's 3401-position model. The record is from RNAcentral. Lineage: Eukaryota; Fungi; Ascomycota; Eurotiomycetes; Onygenales; Onygenaceae.
AACGGCGAGUGAAGCGGCAAGAGCUCAAAUUUGAAAUCUGGCCCCGUCAGGGGUUCGAGUUGUAAUUUGGAGAGGACACUUUGGGUGCGGCCGCGGCGUAAGUCCCUUGGAACAGGGCGUCACAGAGGGUGAGAAUCCCGUCUUGAGCCGCCGGACCGCGCCCGUGCAAAGUUCCUUCGACGAGUCGAGUUGUUUGGGAAUGCAGCUCUAAGUGGGUGGUAAAUUUCAUCUAAAGCUAAAUAUUGGCUGGAGACCGAUAGCGCACAAGUAGAGUGAUCGAAAGGUUAAAAGCACCUUGAAAAGGGAGUUAAAUAGCACGUGAAAUUGUUGAAAGGGAAGCGCUUGCAGCCAGACUCGGUCGUGGGGGCUCAGCGGGCAUGCGUGCCCGUGUACUCCCCCGCGUCCGGGCCAGCAUCGGUUUCGGCGGCCGGUCAAAGGCCCCGGGAAUGUACCAUCCUCCGGGAUGGCUUAUAGCCCGGGGUGCAAUGCGGCCAGCCGGGACCGAGGAACGCGCUCCGGCACGGAUGCUGGCGUAAUGGCUGUAAGCGGCCCGUCUUGAAACACGGACCAAGGAGUCUAACAUCCACGCGAGUGUUCGGGUGUCAAACCCGUGCGCGCAGUGAAAGCGAACGGAGGUGGGAGCCCUGGAGGGUGCACCAUCGACCGAUCCUGAAGUCUUCGGAUGGAUUUGAGUACGAGCGUGGCUGUUGGGACCCGAAAGAUGGUGAACUAUGCCUGAAUAGGGUGAAGCCAGAGGAAACUCUGGUGGAGGCUCGCAGCGGUUCUGACGUGCAAAUCGAUCGUCAAAUUU